Molecule: long non-coding RNA, 494 nt
Organism: Sciurus carolinensis (gray squirrel)
Lineage: Eukaryota; Metazoa; Chordata; Mammalia; Rodentia; Sciuridae
Exons: 3
Source: RefSeq, a predicted model, not a curated record
GAAGUAAAAAACUACAGGAGAAACCUUCAAAUCAACAAAAAUGGUGGAAUAAGGUUAUACAUUAUUUAUUAUGGUUAUUGAUGUUCUCAACCGAUAUAUAGUGAAAGGGAAUUUGACAAUUAUAGAAGAAAUCUUCAAAUCCAUGAAGGUGGUGGAUUGAGGUCUGUUAGUCUCCAAACCCAAAGUCCCUCACUAUUAUCUUCAUUGCAAGAAACAUCUGAAGUAUCCAUCCCAGGGUCAUGGAAACAUGAAGAAGGAGCCCUGAACAACAUGAGCUGAUCUACAACUUGUGUCAUUUGUAGAAUGAAGAACUUGAAGCAGAUAGUCUCUGAUUUUUUCCAUCAAACAUGACAUGUUUCUCUUACCUUGUAGACCUAAAUACUACCCAAAAAAACUUUUGUUCCUUCCUUCCUUCUUUCCUUCCUUCCUUUAUUUUCUUUCUAUCUCUAUAUCUCUCUAUCUAUCUAUCUAUCUAUCUAUCUAUCUAUCUAUCA